CGUGUUUAAACUUAUUGUUGGGUUCUGUUGACGUUUCUGUUAUUAUUUAUAUUGUUCAUUAUACACCCAAAGCUUAGCCCCAUGACAAAGAAACGUCCUAAAAAAAUAAAAAUAAUUGCUCACAAUAUUUGCAAUGGAACAUUUCAAAUCAGGGCUCUCACAAUAUAUAAAAAAAAAUAUAUACAAUAUUUGUUGUCAAAGAUGUGUACAUAUAUAUUUAUAUCUAAAUAUAUAGCAAAUAUAUAACUAUUGAAUAACGUAGAGAGAUAUAAAGUCAUCGUAAUGAAAAAAUAUAUAAAAAGUGAGACAAUCGCUCAGUGGAUGAAGCCGUAGGUUAGGAGGAAGAUGAGAAAGUGGGUCGAAGAAUGGGAAACGGCUAGCACAACCAAGAAAGAUAUAGAUGAAAUAGAGAGCGAGCUACAGUAUCUGAGGCCGAGUUUGGGGAUGUGAACAUUGAUGCCAUGGUCUCAUGGGCGUUUGCCCCUGUGCCAGGUACAUAGGUAGCUACAGUGCAGGAGCACAACUACACCAAACAUGCCAUUCAGGAUGCAAAGUGUCUAAGUAGUUAAUGAUGGGUAGUACCUUAGCCAGUGAGGUCCGUUGCAAACUAAUGCUGUCGAUUUAGCAUUUUGUAAUGGUCAGAAUGCCUUGUGGUCUGUGAACCCAAUGGCAGCCAGUGUGGUUACUGUGUCUAAUAACAUCAGACCGGUGGUUGAUUUGGUUUGGAGUUGCCCCUGUGGUCCACUGUGGUGAAGAAUAGACACUGCUGUCAUUUUGUGAUCAGAAUGUUUUUUUGUGGUCAGUGAGGUAAAGUGUGUUCAUUGCGGUCAGCACAACCCUCUUUUAAUUGUAUUCUGUGGAAAGGGUGAGGGACAUCACUAACAUGAGAAAGGAAGAUUUCAGGGAACCUCUAACCGUUUAUAAGUACUUGUAGUGGAUAGUUAGUGUGUAGCAGCUUCAGAGCUGAGUCACUUAGCUGAGGCAACAUCCACUGUUGAUUUCAGCUCAGAGCCUAACCCUGGCAGAACUAACCCUGGCACAACUAACCCUGGCACAUGGGGAUUCAGGUAACUGUGGUGGGCAAUGCCAAGGCACCAACCCACCUUCUUAUUGUCUACAUCCCCAAAUCUAAGGCCAACUUAAAAGUAUGACCCUACUUCAGGUGUUAAGAGAGUGCAAAGGGUGGAACCAAAUGUAACCUGUUGUAUUGCACCUUCCGAAGGUGUGUUCUGUUGACAACCUCCAUGACGUCUCAUGACUGAACUUAGUGAAGACAGCACAUAGUGACCUCUGUGUUUUACCGUUGUCAUUAUGUCCCUGCACAGUACUCCUAUUCCGGACAUACAUAUAACUGUUAUAACUGAGAACACUCACGCUCCCUGCCUGUUGCAGACAGUGAACAGGCAGGGAGCGUUUGCAGAGAGAAGAAUCUUUUCUUUCCGUUGAUAUUAUUAUGGUACUCUUUUAUUUUGCUUUGGCUGCCUUGGUUAUGCAAUUAUCUUGAAACGGUUUGAGACGCACAGUGGCGUCACGUGAAGGGGCAGGCCUGUCUAGCCAAUUGAAAUCAGGGACUCCCUAGCUCCAACCAAUCACAGGAAAAGCUGUGUGCAUAUUGGGUGGGGUCAGGAAUCAAACUCCCUCCCCAACCUACCCUAACCUUUGCCCCACCUAUUUGACUAACCAGACCAUCUUUUUCACCUGGUAAUAACAUGUGUCUUGUGAUCAGAUUUGACCCAAAAUGUCUACUCCAGCCCAAUUUGAUCGGGUAUGACCGGAUGUGACCAAAGAUCCAUUCCCAGGACACAUGUUAACACCAGGUCUAAAGGGGGUCUCAGAUUACCCCCUCCCUGCACCUCCUGCCACAACAGCAUUGCUACCCCACUAUUAAAGACUCUUGUACAUAGCAAAGUGUUUUGUAUAAAUACGUACUAUUUUCAACAUCUCCAGAUGAAACCAGGGCACAAUGUAAAUGUUGAUUAAAGUUAUAACUUGAAACAGGAGAGGGUUAAAGAAAAUUAUAGAAUUAUAGUAACACUGCUUACAAUUACAGUUUUGAAUGGGGCAACAACAACAACAAAAAAAUCCAGAGUGGACCACAUAUCGGCUUUCACAAUUGGUUCCUCUUUUUCAAGAGGUUUUGUUGAGUUCAUUUUUGGGAGCCAUUGAUUGCUUUGUAUUGAUUUUCUUUUUUGUAGUAUUUUUUAUUUUUAUUUCUGUUGAGGAAAAACGGCAUUGCAUGCUCUGAAUAUUUUGCUGGUUAUAAAAAGGAAAAUGGAGAAACAAACACGAGAAAGGGGUGAGGGGAAAAAAGCAUUCCUAAACUUUUAUGGAAACGUUGCUUCAAUUUGCAAUUGCUUGUUUAACUCCACGGUUUUUUUUUCUAUGAAAACAAACAAAACUAGAAAAAGAGUACUCCAACACCUUGUGCAAUAAAGCUAUCUUUCUAUGAG
This 2450-nucleotide long non-coding RNA is filed under the name Salmo salar (Atlantic salmon). RNAcentral describes it as "lncRNA (ENSSSAG00000099873.1)". The record is from RNAcentral. Lineage: Eukaryota; Metazoa; Chordata; Actinopteri; Salmoniformes; Salmonidae.